RNAcentral lists this ribosomal RNA (479 nucleotides) under uncultured bacterium. RNAcentral's name for it is "partial 16S ribosomal RNA". It matches the Rfam family "Bacterial small subunit ribosomal RNA", at positions 28 to 507 of the family's 1533-position model. The record is from RNAcentral.
GAUGAACGCUCGCGGGAGGCCUAACACAUGCAAGCCGAGCGGUAUUGUUUCUUCGGACAUGAGAGAGCGGCGUACGGGUGCGUAACACGUGUGCAACCUGCCUUUAUCUGGGGGAUAGCCUUUCGAAAGGAAGAUUAAUACUCCAUAAUAUAUUGAACGGCAUCGUUUAAUAUUGAAAGCUCCGGCGGAUAGAGAUGGGCACGCGCAAGAUUAGCUAGUUGGUGAGGUAACGGCUCACCAAGGCGAUGAUCUUUAGGGGGCCUGAGAGGGUGAUCCCCCACACUGGUACUGAGACACGGACCAGACUCCUACGGGAGGCAGCAGUGAGGAAUAUUGGUCAAUGGGUGCAAGCCUGAACCAGCCAUCCCGUGUGAAGGACGACUGCCCUAUGGGUUGUAAACUUCUUUUGUAUAGGGAUAAACCUACCCUCGAGAGGGUAGCUGAAGGUACUAUACGAAUAAGCACCGGCUAACUCCGUG